GAGGAAGGACGGCGAAAGUGUUGUUUGCGAUUUAAAAGGCAGUGCGUGUGUACAGUGCCUUGUGUGUGUGUGUGUGUGUGUGUAGUGAUGUGGAGUGCGUGGGUGUGUGGAGUGGUGUUGUGUGCGGCGCGCGUGAGGGACGUACUGGAGCUGUGGACGGGAGAACAGGACAGCUGGAAAAUGACUGGAGAAGGUACGGUCGCCAUACCAUCCAGCACCUCUUCCACCCACUCCCCGAGAGACGCGUAAGUCAUCGUGGAGUUCUUUCCGAGGCGCCGCGCUGCUUCCUUGGGCUGCAGGCGGCACAGCGUCACGCCGCCACGCGCAGGAAUCCUUCUGAUGUGCAGGCUUUGAUCUCCCUCACUGCAGGCCAACGCUGAGCCCUCACCCUCCCUUCUUUGCUUGCCUCAUGACUUCGCGGUGACGUCAAGCUGCAAAACCUCGAAAUUGAAAUGCUAUUGUGGGAUUUCUUUUUUUUCGGCAGUGAAUGGUUAAAAGUGAUUGUGGUUUGAAAGUGGAUAUAUGUGACUGAAUUGAUACUUAUAAGGCGUAGUCUGCUUUCAUUUUAGAUUUUAUUUUUUUUUCCUUUGUGAAUGUUCAGUGGUUUGUCUUGAUGAUUUGAAAGUGUUUAUCAUUAUCUGGAGUAGCGAUUUUUAAAACAUUUCAGUUUUGGAGUUUUCUUUUGUUGUUAAUGUUUAUGAUUUUUUUUUUUUCAUCAUCAGUUACGUACUUGUUUUCAUGCGUGCGUAAAUGUGUUCACGUAACGAAACAAGUAAUAAUUAUUGUUUUUAAGAGUGACUGACAACCGGUUCAAAUUUACACGACCUUUUUAUUUUCAAGUGUAUUCUCGAAAACUAGGAAAUGUCGACAUGAAUUAAUGACUGAAGUAAUUCUGAGGCAAAGAGCGUCAGGCUGGUGCUUGACACCUUCCGCCACGGCACUGCCUGCGUCACGCGCCGAGCAUAAAUAAAACUGAGUCACCACGCGUGUUAUUUUCAUCAGACGAAACCACCUGAAAAUGUGUCCCAUCGUUGAAAUAUAAUGACACUCCAAUAAUUAAUUCCA
Long non-coding RNA from Scylla paramamosain (green mud crab), 1065 nucleotides. RefSeq lists it as uncharacterized. The record is from RefSeq and is a predicted model, not a curated record. Lineage: Eukaryota; Metazoa; Arthropoda; Malacostraca; Decapoda; Portunidae. The transcript is spliced from 3 exons.